ACCCGGCUGGCUCAAUCAGUGGAGCAUUAAGCUCUUGAUCUCAGGGCUGUGAGUUCAAGUCCCACGCUGGGUA
RNAcentral lists this transfer RNA (73 nucleotides) under Ailuropoda melanoleuca (giant panda). It matches the Rfam family "tRNA". Rfam says of the family: Transfer RNA (tRNA) molecules are approximately 80 nucleotides in length. Their secondary structure includes four short double-helical elements and three loops (D, anti-codon, and T loops). The record is from Rfam by way of RNAcentral. Lineage: Eukaryota; Metazoa; Chordata; Mammalia; Carnivora; Ursidae.